UACGUAGGGCGCAAGCGUUGUCCGGAAUUAUUGGGCGUAAAGAGCUCGUAGGCGGCUUGUCACGUCGGGUGUGAAAGCCCGGGGCUUAACCCCGGGUCUGCAUUCGAUACGGGCUGGCUAGAGUGUGGUAGGGGAGAUCGGAAUUCCUGGUGUAGCGGUGAAAUGCGCAGAUAUCAGGAGGAACACCGGUGGCGAAGGCGGUUCUCUGGGCAUUACCUGACGCUGAGGAGCGAAAGCAUGGGGAGCGAACAGG
This 253-nucleotide ribosomal RNA is filed under the name uncultured bacterium. Its description in RNAcentral is "partial 16S ribosomal RNA". It matches the Rfam family "Bacterial small subunit ribosomal RNA", at positions 524 to 776 of the family's 1533-position model. The record is from RNAcentral.